GAGUUUGAUCAUGGCUCAGAACGAACGCUGGCGGCGCGCCUAAUACAUGCAAGUCGAGCGAGAAGGUGUAGCAAUACACUUGUAAAGCGGCGAACGGGUGAGGAAUGCAUGGGUAACCUACCCUCGAGUGGGGAAUAACUAGCCGAAAGGUUAGCUAAUACCGCAUACGUUUCCGGAACUUCGGUUUCGGAAAGAAAGCAAUACCGUGGGUAUUGCGCUCCUGGAUGGGCUCAUGUCCUAUCAGCUUGUUGGUGAGGUAACGGCUCACCAAGGCUUCGACGGGUAGCUGGUCUGAGAGGACGAUCAGCCACACUGGCACUGCGACACGGGCCAGACUCCUACGGGAGGCAGCAGUAAGGAAUAUUGCGCAAUGGACGAAAGUCUGACGCAGCGACGCCGCGUGGGGGAUGAAGGUCUUCGGAUUGUAAACCCCUUUCGGAGGGAAGAUGGAGUGGGUAACCACUUGGACGGUACCUCCAGAAGCAGCCACGGCUAACUUCGUG
This 503-nucleotide ribosomal RNA is filed under the name uncultured bacterium. RNAcentral's name for it is "bacterial SSU rRNA". It matches the Rfam family "Bacterial small subunit ribosomal RNA", at positions 9 to 507 of the family's 1533-position model. The record is from RNAcentral.